GCCUACGGGGCGCAGCAGUCGGGAAUAUUGCGCAAUGGAGGAAACUCUGACGCAGUGACGCCGCGUAUAGGAAGAAGGUUUUCGGAUUGUAAACUAUUGUCAUUAGGGAAGAUAAAAGACUGUACCUAAGGAGGAAGCCCCGGCUAACUAUGUGCCAGCAGCCGCGGUAAUACGUAGGUGGCAAGCGUUGUCCGGAUUUACUGGGUGUAAAGGGCGUGUAGCCGGGAAGGCAAGUCAGAUGUGAAAUCCGGAGGCUCAACCUCCGAAUUGCAUUUGAAACUGUUUUUCUUGAGUACUGGAGAGGC
This 305-nucleotide ribosomal RNA is filed under the name uncultured bacterium. RNAcentral describes it as "bacterial SSU rRNA". It matches the Rfam family "Bacterial small subunit ribosomal RNA", at positions 337 to 658 of the family's 1533-position model. The record is from RNAcentral.